AGCGGCGGACGGGUGAGUAACGCGUGGGUAACCUGGCUCAUACAGGGGGAUAACAGUUGGAAACGGCUGCUAAUACCGCAUAAGCGCACAGUACCGCAUGGUACCGUGUGAAAAACUCCGGUGGUAUGAGAUGGACCCGCGUCUGAUUAGCUAGUUGGUGGGGUAACGGCCUACCAAGGCGACGAUCAGUAGCCGACCUGAGAGGGUGACCGGCCACAUUGGGACUGAGACACGGCCCAA
This 240-nucleotide ribosomal RNA is filed under the name uncultured bacterium. Its description in RNAcentral is "partial 16S ribosomal RNA". It matches the Rfam family "Bacterial small subunit ribosomal RNA", at positions 94 to 334 of the family's 1533-position model. The record is from RNAcentral.